CCUACGGGUGGCAGCAGUGGGGAAUCUUGCGCAAUGGGCGAAAGCCUGACGCAGCGACGCCGCGUGAGGGAUGAAGGUCUUCGGAUCGUAAACCUCUGUCAGCAGGGAAGAACGGUCACUGUGCUAAUCAGCAGUGAAUUGACGGUACCUGCAAAGGAAGCACCGGCUAACUCCGUGCCAGCAGCCGCGGUAAUACGGAGGGUGCGAGCGUUAAUCGGAAUUAUUGGGCUUAAAGCGGUCGUAGGCGGUAUGUCAAGUCAAGGGGGAAAUCCCCGCGCUCAACGUGGGAACUGCCUUUGAAACUGGCAAACUGGAGUGGGUGAGAGGAUAGUGGAAUGCCAGGUGUAGGAGUGAAAUCCGUAGAUAUCGGGAGGAACAUCAGUGGCGAAGGCGACUAUCUGGCACAUAACUGACGCUGAGGAGCGAAAGCGUGGGUAGCAAACAGGAUUAGAUACCCGGGUAGUC
RNAcentral lists this ribosomal RNA (465 nucleotides) under uncultured bacterium. RNAcentral describes it as "partial 16S ribosomal RNA". It matches the Rfam family "Bacterial small subunit ribosomal RNA", at positions 338 to 795 of the family's 1533-position model. The record is from RNAcentral.